GAUGAACGCUGGCGGCGUGCUUAACACAUGCAAGUCGAACGAAGAUGCCGGAGUGCUUGCACUUUGGCAGACUGAGUGGCGGACGGGUGAGUAACGCGUGGGUAACCUGCCUUAUACAGGGGGAUAACAGUUGGAAACGACUGCUAAUACCGCAUAAGCGCACGGUAUCGCAUGAUACAGUGUGAAAAACUCCGGUGGUAUAAGAUGGACCCGCGUCUGAUUAGCUUGUUGGUGAGGUAACGGCCCACCAAGGCGACGAUCAGUAGCCGGCCUGAGAGGGUGAACGGCCACAUUGGGACUGAGACACGGCCCAAAACUCCUACGGGAGGCAGCAGUGGGGAAUAUUGCACAAUGGGGGAAACCCUGAUGCAGCGACGCCGCGUGAGUGAUGAAGUAUUUCGGUAUGUAAAACUCUAUCAGCAGGGAAGAUAAAUGAACGGUACCUGACUAAGAAGCACCGGCUAAAUACGUG
This 472-nucleotide ribosomal RNA is filed under the name uncultured bacterium. RNAcentral describes it as "bacterial SSU rRNA". It matches the Rfam family "Bacterial small subunit ribosomal RNA", at positions 28 to 507 of the family's 1533-position model. The record is from RNAcentral.